Molecule: ribosomal RNA, 480 nt
Filed under: Triticum aestivum (bread wheat)
Lineage: Eukaryota; Viridiplantae; Streptophyta; Magnoliopsida; Poales; Poaceae
Description: partial small subunit ribosomal RNA
Source: RNAcentral
AUGAGUCGACCUGAUGGGAUCAACAUCCCCGACGGCAAGUUCUACCUUGGAGAUGCUGGCUAUGCAUGUCGGCCGGGUAUUCUUCCACCCUUCAGGAAAACAAGGUACCAUCUCAACGAGUUCUUUGGUAGGAACUAUCCUAGGACUGCACAGGAGCUGUUUAAUCUCAGACACUCCAGCCUUAGAGUAACUGUUGAGAGGGCAUUUGAAGCUCUGAAGAAUAGGUUUAAGAUCCUGGAUCAGAAGCCAUUCCACCCAUACUCCACUCAGGUUAAGCUAGUUCUUGCUUGUUGCAUUCUGCAUAACUGGAUCCUCCAGUGGGGCUUUGAUGAACACGUGCCUGAGGAGGAAGAUGUCGAGCCUGACGAUGUUGUUAGCUCCGGCCAUGGUGUGGAGGCAUUUGACAAUGACGCUUGGAAGAACAAAAGGUUGGAGUGGGCAGAGGCGAUGUGGCUUAACAGAGGUCAGUGCAGGAUUUGA